RNAcentral lists this long non-coding RNA (973 nucleotides) under Homo sapiens (human). Its description in RNAcentral is "HSALNT0251336". The record is from RNAcentral. Lineage: Eukaryota; Metazoa; Chordata; Mammalia; Primates; Hominidae.
UGAAGGCUCUUAUGAAAGCAAGACAUUAGCCACCAUGCACCAUGAAAAACAAGCUGCCUCAUCCCUUCUCCAAAGAUGGUCUUCCUUCUGUACUCCUACAUUCAAAAUUCCUUCCCUGUGUUUACUGGUGUCUGUCUGGCCUCUGAACCUUACCAUGUAGAUCCACAUUAUUUUGAGAACUUCCUUGGAUACUCUGUCCAGGAGGAUAGGAGGAAGCCUUAACAUGACCAUUCACUCUUCAUGUGAGAGGCAAUCUUACCCUGGUUUUGACCAUCUUUAAUAAGAAGCAGACCUGUGCCCAGCUGAUCCCACAAGAUGGAAGACCUGAGGACCACCCUUCCGGAGAAUCAAAGGCAAAGGUUGCUCAUCUGAUCACUGUUGCUGCUUCCCAUAGUGCUGAAUGAAAAUACAACUGGAAGUACAAGCUCUUUGAAAAGGGUUUGAAAGCAUCUACUGAAGCUGAAUGUAUGCAUUAACUUUGACUCAGCAAUUCCACCUUCAGAUUGGAAUAUCCUCAACAAAGAUGUGUAUAUUGGAUUGUCAAAAGACACAUACUGGAAUGUUCAUGGCAGCACUAUACAUAGUAGCACCAAGCUGGAACAUGAAAAUGCUAAUAAUCAGUAAAAUGGAUAAAUAAAUUGUGAUAUAUUCACAAAGAGAACAAUAUAUGGGCAUGAGAAUAAUCUAUAGCUACACACAGCAAUAAUGAUGAUGAAAACAAGUAUUAUGUUGAGUAAAGAAAGACACAAAGUACAUACUGUAUGAUUACAUACAUAUAAAGAAAAAAACACAAGCAAAGCUAAUUUAUGAUUUGAGUGAUUACUCAUAUGGGGGGUGAGAAAAGGAAGGGGCAAAGGGAAGCCAGUAGAGUACUGACAAUAUUCUCUUCCUUCACGUGGAUAUUGGUUACAUGGGUUUGUUUGAUUUUUGAGAAUUCACUGAGGUGUACACUUACAAAAUGUGCACUUUUCAA